This is a small nuclear RNA of Cebus imitator (Panamanian white-faced capuchin), 107 nucleotides long. NCBI's taxonomy places the organism in Eukaryota, Metazoa, Chordata, Mammalia, Primates, Cebidae. The record is from Ensembl.
GUGCUUGCUUCGGCAGUACAUAUACUAAAAUUGGAAUGAUACAGAGAAGAUUAGCAUGGCCCCUGUGCAAGCAUAACAUGCAAAUUUGUUUAUGAAAACACUAAAAA